UACAGAGGUCUCAAGCGUUGUUCGGAUUCAUUGGGCGUAAAGGGUGCGUAGGUGGCGGGGUAAGUCAGGUGUGAAAUCUCGGAGCCCAACUCCGAAACUGCACUUGAUACUGCCUUGCUGGAGUACUGGAGAGGAGAUUGGAAUUUACGGUGUAGCAGUGAAAUGCGUAGAUAUCGUAAGGAAGACCAGUGGCGAAGGCGAAUCUCUGGACAGUUACUGACACUGAGGCACGAAGGCCAGGGGAGCAAACGGG
RNAcentral lists this ribosomal RNA (253 nucleotides) under uncultured bacterium. RNAcentral's name for it is "partial 16S ribosomal RNA". It matches the Rfam family "Bacterial small subunit ribosomal RNA", at positions 524 to 776 of the family's 1533-position model. The record is from RNAcentral.